Long non-coding RNA from Prunus dulcis (almond), 390 nucleotides. RefSeq lists it as uncharacterized. The record is from RefSeq and is a predicted model, not a curated record. Lineage: Eukaryota; Viridiplantae; Streptophyta; Magnoliopsida; Rosales; Rosaceae. The transcript is spliced from 2 exons.
CUAUCGUCGAUCGGCCCUGUUUGCCUCUUCAGAACUUGAAUCCCUUCGACCAAAAAAUAAAAAAAAACUUGAAUCCCCAAAUCCAUUCGACAAAAGCAAAAUCCCUAAACCUAAUUCCCAAGACCACGACGUUGCUUGCACUACCGUCGCCGACAUGAGACUUCCGUCGAAUUCGUAAAGAUGGGGCAAAUCUUACUACCGUGAGUGAGCAUUUACUGUUUACAUGCAAGCCAGAGAGGAAACCAAAUGAUGUGGGCAUUUAUAGUGAAUUACUUAUUGAUGCAUGGCGACUAUUUUAUUUCUUCCCCCUUAAUUUGCAACAAUAUAGAUAACAUUUAGCACAGCAAUUUGUACACAUCAGAAUUUAUGUGUCCAACAAUUUUCUUAAAA